AUGCCCUGCAAGAAACGAAGGUCCGACUGUUGGUCCUCCAAGGGGCGCUGUGUCUUUAAAUGCGGCCGGUUGGGCAGGCUGGGGGGGACUCGGGGGCCUAAAAGGGGGUUUGGUCCUCCAAGGGCGCUGUCUCUUUAAAUCGGAAGGGUUGGAAGACACGGGGACCGAGGUCCGACUGUUGGUCCUCCAAGGGUGCUGUCUCUUUAAAUCCAGCAGCGUUGACAGCCUUAGGAGGACUAAGGUCCGACUGUUGGUCCUCCAAGGGGCGUUGGCGCUUUAAAUGCGGUGUGUUUAACAGACUCGGGGGGUCUCGGGGGCCUAAAAGGGGGUUUGGUCCUCCAAGGGUGCUGUCUCUUUAAGUCUAAAGGGGUAGAACACGCAAGGACCAAGGUCCGACUGUUGGUCCUCCAAGGGGCGCUGUCUCUUUAAAUCCAGCAGCAUUGACAGCCUUAGGAGGACUAAGGUCCGACUGUUGGUCCUCCAAGGGGCGCUGUGUCUUUAAAUGCGGCCGGUUGGGCAGGCUGGGGGGGACUCGGGGGCCUAAAAGGGGGUUUGGUCCUCCAAGGGCGCUGUCUCUUUAAAUCGGAAGGGUUGGAAGACACGGGGACCGAGGUCCGACUGUUGGUCCUCCAAGGGUGCUGUCUCUUUAAAUCCAGCAGCGUUGACAGCCUUAGGAGGACUAAGGUCCGACUGUUGGUCCUCCAAGGGGCGUUGGCGCUUUAAAUGCGGUGUGUUUAACAGACUCGGGGGGUCUCGGGGGCCUAAAAGGGGGUUUGGUCCUCCAAGGGUGCUGUCUCUUUAAGUCUAAAGGGGUAGAACACGCAAGGACCAAGGUCCGACUGUUGGUCCUCCAAGGGGCGCUGUCUCUUUAAAUCCAGCAGCAUUGACAGCCUUAGGAGGACUAAGGUCCGACUGUUGGUCCUCCAAGGGGCGCUGUGUCUUUAAAUGCGGCCGGUUGGGCAGGCUGGGGGGGACUCGGGGGCCUAAAAGGGGGUUUGGUCCUCCAAGGGCGCUGUCUCUUUAAAUCUAGAGGGGUAGAACACGCGAGAAGCAAGGUCUGACUGUUGGUCCUCCAAGGGCGCUGUCUCUUUAAAUCCAGCAGCGUUGACAGCCUUAGGAGGACUAAGGUCCGACUGUUGGUCCUCCAAGGGGCGCUGGCGCUUUAAAUGCGGCCGGUUGGGAAGACUCGGGGGGUCUCGGGGGCCUAAAAGGGGGUUUGGUCCUCCAAGGGUGCUGUCUCUUUAAGUCUAAAGGGGUAGAACACGCAAGGACCAAGGUCCGACUGUUGGUCCUCCAAGGGGCGCUGUGUCUUUAAAUGCGGCCGGUUGGGCAGGCUGGGGGGGACUCGGAGGCCUAAAAGGGGGUUUGGUCCUCCAAGGGCGCUGUCUCUUUAAAUCUAGAGGGGUAGAACACGCGAGGAGCAAGGUCCGACUGUUGGUCCUCCAAGGGCGCUGUCUCUUUAAAUCCAAAGGGUUUCACAGCCUCAGGAGGACCAAGGUCGGACUGUUGGUCCUCCAAGGGGCGCUGUGUCUUUAAAUGCGGCCGGUUGGGCAGGCUGGGGGGGUCUCGGGGGCCUAAAAGGGGGUUUGGUCCUCCAAGGGCGCUGUCUCUUUAAAUCUAGAGGGGUAGAAGACACGGGGACCGAGGGCCGACUGUUGGUCCUCCAAGGGGCGCUGGCACUUUAAAUGCGGCCGGUUGGGCAGGCUGGGGGGGACUCGGGGGCCUAAAAGGGGGUUUGGUCCUCCAAGGGCGCUGUCUCUUUAAAUCUAGAGGGGUAGAAGACACGGGGACCGAGGUCCGACUGUUGGUCCUCCAAGGGGCGCUGUCUCUUUAAAUCCAGCAGCGUUGACAGCCUUAGGAGGACUAAGGUCUGACUGUUGGUCCUCCAAGGGGCGCCGUGUCUUUAAAUCCAAAGGGUUUGACAGGCUCAGGAGGACCAAGGUCGGACUGUUGGUCCUCCAAGGGCGCUGUCUCUUUAAAUCCCCCCUAUUUAACCCCCAGUGGAGGACCAACGUCCGCCUGUUGGUCCUCCAAGGUCUGUAGUGGCUGUAGUUGGUCCUCCAAGAGCGCUCUCCCUUUAAAUCCCCCCUAUUUAACCCCCAGUGGAGGACCAAAGUCCGCCUGUAGGUCCUCCAAGAGCCCUCUCCCUUUAAAUCCUCCAUGUUUACCACCCCGUGGAGGACCAAAGUCCGCCUGUAAGUCCUCCAAGAGCACUUUCCCUUUAAAUCCUCCAUGUUUAACCCCCAGUGGAGGACCAAAGUCCGCCUGUAGGUCCUCCAAGAGCACUUUCCCUUUAAAUCCUCCAUGUUUACCACCCCGUGGAGGACCAAAGUCCGCCUGUUGGUCCUCCAAGAGCGCUCUCCCUUUAAAUCCUCCAUGUUUAACCCCCAGUGGAGGACCAAAGUCCGCCUGUAGGUCCUCCAAGAGCACUUUCCCUUUAAAUCCCCCCUAUUUAACCCCCAGUGGAGGACCAAAGUCCGCCUGUAGGUCCUCCAAGGGCCCUCUCCCUUUAAAUCCUCCAUGUUUACCACCCCGUGGAGGACCAAAGUCCGCCUGUAAGUCCUCCAAGGGCCCUCUCCCUUUAAAUCCCCCCUAUUUAACCCCCAGUGGAGGACCAAAGUCCGCCUGUAAGUCCUCCAAGGGCACUUUCCCUUUAAAUCCUCCGGCUUUUACAGCAUAACAAGGUCCAAGGUCCACAGCAGCGGCGCUAACGAGCUAAUUAAGGGCCUAGUUGGUCCUCCAGACUUAUUGGUCCUCCAACCGCCAUUGGUCCUCCAACCGCCAUUGGUCCUCCAGCCUAAUUGGUCCUCCAGCCUAAUUGGUCCUCCAGCCAUUGGUCCUCCAGCCGCCAUUGGUCCUCCAGCCGCCAUUAGUCCUCCAGCCAUGAGUCCUCCAGCCUAAUUGGUCCUCCAGCCUAAUUGGUCCUCCAACCGCCAUUGGUCCUCCAGCCAUGAGUCCUCCAGCCUAAUUGGUCCUCCAGCCACCAGUAGUCCUCCAGCCUAAUUGGUCCUCCAGCCUAAUUGGUCCUCCAGCCAUUGGUCCUCCAGCCGCCAUUGGUCCUCCAACCACCAUUGGUACUCCAGCCUAAUUGGUCCUCCAGCCAUUGGUCCUCCAGCCGCCAUUGGUCCUCCAGCCAUGAGUCCUCCAGCCUAAUUGGUCCUCCAGCCACCAUUAGUCCUCCAGCCGCCAUUGGUCCUCCAGCCAUGAGUCCUCCAGCCAUUGGUCCUCCAGCCUAAUUGGUCCUCCAGCCGCCAUUAGUCCUCCAGCCAUGAGUCCUCCAGCCACCAUGAGUCCUCCAGCCUAAUUGGUCCUCCAGCCAUUGGUCCUCCAGCCAUGAGUCCUCCAGCCUAAUUAGUCCUCCACCCUAAUUGGUCCUCCAGCUUAAUUGGUCCUCCAGCCGCCAUUAGUCCUCCAGCCAUGAGUCCUCCAGCCGCCAUUAGUCCUCCAGCCAUGAGUCCUCCAGCCAUUGGUCCUCCAGCCGCCAUUGGUCCUCCAGCCUAAUUGGUCCUCCAGCCAUUGGUCCUCCAGCCGCCAUUGGUCCUCCAGCCAUGAGUCCUCCAGCCUAAUUGGUCCUCCAACCAUUGGUCCUCCAGCCGCCAUUGGUCCUCCAGCCAUGAGUCCUCCAGCCGCCAUGAGUCCUCCAGCCACCAUUAGUCCUCCAGCCAUGAGUCCUCCAGCCGCCAUGAGUCCUCCAGCCGCCAUUAAUCCCAUCCAACCAAUGAGACGCCAACGCAAGAGCCGAUAGCAAUCAUUUAUUCAUACGUAGGUAUGCUAAUUAGCCAAAGCUCGUUAACGGAAGGGCAUAACGAAGGAGGAGGGACCCUCUGGCCGCCACUGGUCCUCCAGCCACGAGUCCUCCAGCCGCCAUGAGUCCUCCAGCCGCCAUUAAUCCCAUCCAACCAAUGAGACGCUAACGCCAGAGCAGAUAGUAACUACUUAAUGCUUUAAUGAGGUUCUAAUUAGCCACAGCUCGUUAACGAAGGGACAUAAUGAAGGAGGAGGGACCCUCUGGCCGCCAUGAGUCCUCCACCCACGAGUCCUCCAGCCGCCAUGAGUCCUCCAGCCGCCAUUAAUCCCAUCCAACCAAUGAGACGCCAACGCAAGAGCAGAUAGGAAUCAUUUAAUGACUUAAUUAGGUUCUAAUUAGCCAAAGCUCGUUAACGGAAGGGCAUAACGAAGGAGGAGGGACCCUCUGGCCGCCAUUGGUCCUCCAGCCACGAGUCCUCCAGCCGCCAUGAGUCCUCCAGCCGCCAUUAAUCCCAUCCAACCAAUGAGACGCCAACGCAAGAGCAGAUAAUAACUACUUAAUGCUUUAAUGAGGUUCUAAUUAGCCACAGUUCGUUAACGAAGGGACAUAACGAAGGGGGAGGGACCCUCUGGCCGCCAUUGGUCCUCCAGCCAGGAGUCCUCCAGCCGCCAUGAGUCCUCCAGCCGCCAUUAAUCCGCAAGCAGCCAAUGAGACACCAACGCCAGAGCAGAUAGGAAUCAUUUAAUGACUUAAUUAGGUUCUAAUUAGCCACAGCUCGUUAACAAAGGGACAUAACAAAGGGGGAGGGACCCUCUGGCCGCCAUUGGUCCUCCAGCCAGGAGUCCUCCAGCCGCCAUGAGUCCUCCAGCCGCCAUUAAUCCGCAAGCAGCCAAUGAGACACCAACGCCAGAGCAGAUAAUAACUACUUAAUGCUUUAAUUAGAUUCUAAUUAGCCACAGCUCGUUAACGAAGGGACAUAACGAAGGGGGAGGGACCCUCCGGCCGCCAUGGGUCCUCCAGCCACGAGUCCUCCAGCCGCCAUGAGUCCUCCAGCCGCCAUUAAUCCCAUCCAACCAAUGAGACGCCAACGCAAGAGCCGAUAGCAAUCAUUUAUUCAUACGUAGGUAUGCUAAUUAGCCAAAGCUCGUUAACGAAGGGACAUAAUGAAGGAGGAGGGACCCUCUGGCCGCCAUGAGUCCUCCAGCCACGAGUCCUCCAGCCGCCAUGAGUCCUCCAGCCGCCAUUAACCCGCAAGCAGCAAGCCCCGGAGGCCCGCAACGGCUCCGCUCAUUAACCGGCGGCCCAGCGGCGCCGCUAAUGAGCCUCGGCUCGUUAAGGGAGGACGUAACGAACCAAUCGGGCCCCCCUGACCUCCCGAAGCCGUCGGCAAUGGCGGAGGACGCCAACGAUGCGAUGGAAGGUUCGGUCCACCUUCAGCUGGGUGAACUCCUUCAGGUCGGCCUCCACCACGAAGGUGAGCCCUGGGGGGGGAAGGAAGGAAGAAAGGGGGGGGAAGCGGAAGAGGAAGUGCGCCCGGGCGACUUCCGCUUCCGGCCGGAAGGCCUACCUUGGGUCUCUUUGGUUUCCUCUUCCCGGAAGCGGUGGCAAAGGGCGCGGGAAGAGGCGGGGAGGGAUUUGGGGGGGUGGCGGA
Molecule: long non-coding RNA, 5399 nt
Organism: Gallus gallus (chicken)
Lineage: Eukaryota; Metazoa; Chordata; Aves; Galliformes; Phasianidae
Exons: 3
Source: RefSeq, a predicted model, not a curated record